UAAAUGCAAAGGAUAUAAGUGAAGAAUUGGAUCAAGUGGUUAGGACAGAACGACUGAACCGCAUGGUAGACAUAUUGUUUUUUGAUGAAUAGUCUCUCCCUUCUCAAGUGUAGUUGGGUUAAAUGAGAUCCCCUGUGAGAGCCUUCAUGCCAAAACCCAUGUAUUGUGAUACAUUUGACACCAAAUAAUUUACAUGUAUGUAGAAGGGAGAAGUAUUUUAUGCAAGGUGAGCCUAAAUGCUGCAAUUGUGGUGGUGAACAUGCACCCGAAUUCUUGAAAUGUCCUGUUAGGAUGAAGGAGACAGAGGUGGCAAGAAUAAGGGCUGUCCAGAGUGUCUCCUAUUCGGAGGCGUCGCGAAGAGUGGAAGAAGAAAGGUGUGAAGCUGAAGAAGUAAUGGUAGUAGGAGUAGAGAUGAUGUUCCUUGUCAACACAGGGAUCCUGACAUGUUGCAUGUUAGAAGGUGGACGUUUUGUUACUUUGGUUAUCAACUGCACAGCACAAACGUAGAGUAAGUCACAGACAAUAGGCAUUGUGAGUGUGGCUGAUCAAUAACUUUUCUUCGGAGGAAUUGCAAGGAAUCCUCUCGAUGAAUGCUUCUUCCUCACAGGCACAUGAGUCUGUAGGGAUGUGAUUUGAAUGUGACUGAAGGAGUGGGAUGGUUGUUCAGAUGUAUUUUUGUAUUAUCCCGCAAUGGAAUAGUGGGUGGCGGCAAUACACCAAUAGUUGUCGUCUGCCACAAAGCUUUAAAGAAAAAGAAGAUGCUCCGGUGUCCACCUGAUGGGGCUGUUUAUUAAUCCUGACAUUGAAAUGCAUAAGGCAUGAGCAGACAAUCAAAGCCUACUUUUCAAGGCUGCCGUUUGAGGGGCCCUUUACGCAACUAUCAACCCUGAGAGAACCAGUUGGACGGAAGGGGCCACAAAAGAUCCGUGUUCAAUGGACUGUCUGGUGGUGUUUUAAAAGCCUGACCUAGCAUCUCAACGAGAUCGAGAGACCACGUCAACCUUACCUACUCACUACCGGAACAACAAAGCAGACAAUCAACCUUUUUCAUCUGCAUGGACAAGAAACUCAUCCAAUGCCAGGCACACCUCUCUAGAAACGCUUGAUUAACUCUUUAAGGCCCACUUUGUGUUCAGCGCACAAUACGACGAGUCCCUCCGUGCCAUGUACAUCUUCCUCCAGACAACAGUGUUUGAAAUUGGUGUUGGCAGCACCAGAGCGCUCCAAGGUAAAGGAACUGAGAGUUAAACUGACAAUAUAUAGAUGCUACAUUUACCAGUCAUUGAAUGACACACCUUGCACGUUGAUUCAUCACCUCAAGCUUUUGCAUGGUUUACAUCAAGGUAAAAAUAUCAUUUUGACAUGUGCACAGGAUGAUGUUCAUUGCAAUUUAAAAGUUAAGUAGGUUUCAGAAAGCAUCUAAGCAAUUUCCAUAGUGGUGAGUAAGCCCAGUUAGCUGAUAUUGAUACAUACAUUUACAUUUAAGUCAUUUAGCAGACGCUCUUAUCCAGAGCGACUUACAAAUUGGUGCAUUCACCUUAUGACAUCCAGUGGAACAGCCACUUUACAAUAGUGCAUCUAAAUCUUUUAAGGGGGGGUGAGAAGGAUUACUUUAUCCUAUCCUAGGUAUUCCUUAAAGAGGUGGGGUUUCAGGUGUCUCCGGAAGGUGGUGAUUGACUCCGCUGUCCUGGUGUCGUGAGGGAGUGUGUUCCACCAUUGGGGAGCCAGAGCAGCGAACAGUUUUGACUGGGCUGAGCGGGAACUGUACUUCCUCAGUGGUAGGGAUACACCACCAACUCGACCAAUAGUGACAGUUGAUCAAGUUCCUUUGCAAAUGUGUGCCCCUGAUGCAGCCCAAUCAGAUUCAAGUGAACAACCAUAGAGCUCUCAAAUGCCAAAAGACCAGGCUCAAGAGAUGUGUGCCCCUGAUGUAGCCCAAUCAGAUUCGAGUGAAGAACCAUAGAGCUCUCAAGUAGUUGAAAGCAUGGAUGAAUAUGUGAAGUCUUAAGGGUAAACUCUGAGGGUAGUCCUCCCUGACAACCCAAGUGGAGCUGUAGAAGGUGUUUUUGACAAUGUACAUAUGCCUUUCAGUGACCUGAAUACUGACACUAAGUGGAAGACAUACUAAUGUGAGAAAUGGGGAGUUGUUGAACCUAUUGGAAUACCUUUAGGAGGGUCAUCACUAGUUACCACAGCCAAAAAAUCAGGAUCUCCUACUCGACCAAUCAGAUGUGAUAACACGUACGCCGGUUUAGAUGAUGUAUGCCGACCGGCUUGCAGGGGAGAGACAUGCACAUUUUUUUCUUACUAGCUCUGACUUUGAUGACUGCUACUUUAUUGAGGGAGAAUGUACUUCUAAUUUAGCUGAUUGCUACUUUAUUGAGGAAAAAUGUUAUGUGGUUGUCCCUCCUAGCUAUCUUAAAACCUUUUACUGCAGUGGACUAAAUCAGGGUCACACAGAGUGUUUCUUGGUACAAAUCUACUUUGAAACCAAAGUACACACCACACACACGUGGUUAUGGGCUUAAAUGUCAGAUAUAAAGUUGAAAUGUAUGCAAUUUUGAGUUAUCCCAAUAUUACACUUGGACUGGGGUGCAAAAGAGCAAGAGGGUAAGUAAAAAUAUGGGAAUGAGGUAGUCGGGUGUGCUAUUUACAGAUUGGCUGUGCAUACUUAUAGAUGACCUGGAGCCAGUGGGUUUGGCGACAGAUAUGUCGUGAGGGCCAGCCAACGAGAGCAUAGAGGUCCCAGUGGUGGGUAUUAUAUGCGGCUUUGGUGACAAAACAGAUGGCACUGUGAUAGACUACAUUUGGUUUGCUGAUUCGAGUGUUGAGGGCUAUUUUGUAAAUGAUAUCGCCGAAGUCAAGGAUCGGUUGAUGUAACCAUUUGUAACACUUUCCAUCUCUGUACAAAGGCAUGGUCUUCAACGUAUGGAAGAUGGCAGCAAUUUAAUAAUAAUAAUAUACUUUAAUAAUAAUAAUAAUAGACUUAAACUAUGUCAUUUCUAGACACCCAAAGCACUUUCAGUGUAAGGGGAAACUCACCACCCUAACCCCACUUACAUAUGUCAAUGUGCAGCGGUUAGGACGGAGUCAGGCGCAGGACACAGAACUGAGUAAAAGACGUACUUUACUCGAAAAGAUACAACAAAUAUUUCCACGCAGGGAAAACACACCAGCUCACAGAAGUCUUGAACACUAAACAAAGAACAAACACGCACAAAACCAUGUGGGAACCAGAGGGUUAAAUAGAGAAUAAAUUCUAACGUAAUGGGAACCAGGUGUGUACAAUCAAGACAAAACAAAUGGAAAAAGAAACGUUGAUCGGUGGCAGCUAGAAAGCCGAUGACGACGACCGCCGAACGCCGCCCGAACAAGGAGAGGCACCAACUUCAGCGGAAGUCGUGACAACAUACUCAUUAUUCAUAUUUAUUUUAUUGGCCCAUCCAAAAGUUACUUAGAUUUGUUUAGUUUUUUUUACAGAUUACAGAUACAGUGGCUUCAGAAAGUUUUCACACCCCUUGACGUUUUCCACAUUUUGUUGUGCUACAGCCUGAAAGAAAAAUGUAUACAAUUUAGAUUUGAGUUUUUUUUUAAACAUUUUUACAAAUGAAUAAAAAAGGAAAAGCCUUGAGUCAAGAAGUAUUCAACCCCUUUGUGAUGACAAGCCUAAAUAAGUUGCAUGGACUCACUCUGUG
Long non-coding RNA from Oncorhynchus keta (chum salmon), 3695 nucleotides. RefSeq lists it as uncharacterized. NCBI's taxonomy places the organism in Eukaryota, Metazoa, Chordata, Actinopteri, Salmoniformes, Salmonidae. The record is from RefSeq and is a predicted model, not a curated record. The transcript is spliced from 4 exons.